CGAGUAGAAGAAGGACGGAACGGCAACAACAAACAUGGAGGCGGCUCCGUUCGUCGGCUUCUCUCCGGAGCGCUACUGGACGGAGGAGAAGGAGAGGGCGCUCAUUGCGUUUUUCUCCAAGAACAGUUGUCUUUGGAACCACAAGUCUGAGCACUACAAGAACCGCCAGCUACGAUGGAAAACCCUGGAACACCUGAGAAUCCUCCUGUCCACUCACCCACCUCCUGUUUCUUUCACAGUCGAAGACAUCAAGAACAAGUUCAAGAACCUCCGUACCACCUUCCAGCGUCAGUACAAGAUGGUCAGAGCGAGCAAAGGUUGCAGUUCGGAUGAUGUUUUCGUGCCGCAGUGGAAACACUACCAGCAGCUGAUGUUCCUGCAGGGCUGCUGGGACCAAGACGACGGCAUUGAUGAUCCACCGCUAUCACCGCUGACCAUUCCAGACGAGGAGAACCAGCCGGUCCUCUCCUCUCCAGGACUCAUCAUCUCCUUCCUCCCCACUCCGUCCACCUCCUCCGCCUCCACCUCGUCCUCCUGCAUCCCCUCCAACAUCAUGGUGAAGUGUUACUGGACUGAGGAGAGGGAGCGAGCGCUGAUAUCGUUCUACUCUGAGCACAGCUGUCUGUGGAACAAGAAGUCUGAAAACCACAACAACCGUCAGCUGCGACUGAGGCUGCUGGAGGCUCUGAGGACCCAGCUGUCCGACCACUCGGUGACGUUCUCAGUCGAAGAUGUAAAGUGCAAGUUCAAGAACCUUCGGACUGUGUUUAACCGUGAAUACAAAGCAGUCCAGACCAGCAGGGCGACCGACAAACCCUAUGUGUCCAAAUGGAAACACUACCAGCAUCUGCUCUUCCUCUGCGAGUCAUGCGAGGAAGACGACGCCACAGACGACCUGCAGAUACUGAUGUCGCAGGAGGACAAAGAUCUGGAACAUGGAAACCAGACUCCCUCGUCCACCCUGAGCAGCUUCUCCUGCAGCUCCAACCAAAGCAACAGUGUGAAGCUCAACAACGCCUCCUUUCCCUCCAGCUCCAGCCAGAGCGCCACCAAAACCAACUCCAGUGCUGCGUACCAGAUCUUCCUCUCCACAACCCCGGAUAACCUGAAACUAGCCGAACAAAUGGCAGCUUCCACCCUCCCGUCCUCGCCGUCCAGUUCACUGCCAGACUCCAAACCUUGUGUAAACCCUUCAUCUUUGAAUUUCUCUGCGUCCAGUUCAGUUCAGCCAGACAGCAGACUGAGCGUCGACUCCCGCUGCCUCUGGAGUGAAGCCAAAGUCCAGCAGCUCAUUUCAUUUUACUCCGAACACUGCUGUCUGUGGAACCACAAGUCUGAGAGCUACAGGAACCGUCUGCUGAGACAAAGUCUGUUGGGGACGCUGAGCAUCGCCCUGUCAGACAACGAACCGGUUCCAUUCACAGUGGAAGACAUAAAGACAAAGUUCAGAAACUUGAGAACCAUCUUCCAACGCGAGCACAAAGCGGUGAGCUCCAAUAAAACCUGUGGUUCGGAGGACUUCUACCUCCCCAAGUGGAAACACUACCGUGAGCUCAUGUUCCUGUGCGACUCCUGCGACGAGGACGAGCGGCCAGUUGACCUUCACUUCCACGAACCGCAGGAGCCCCACCUCCUCCACCUGGACAGCCAGGCUCCGCCCCCUUCGCUGCUCUACCACGUUGCCAACCAGACCGCUGCCAAGCUGAACAUCGCGGCCCGGAGCGUCGAAGCCCCACCAUCGCCAACUCCCCCGGACUCCCAGCGCUCCUCGCCGUCCUCGUCCCCGUCCACGUCGUCCUCGCUAACGGACAGCCGGGUGUCUGGACGCAAGCGGGCGAGCCGCCAGGUGUCGCCGACCGCCGACGAGUUUCUAGACUUCAUGAGAACGUUCUGUCAGAAUCAGACGGUGUCGCCGCACACCGGCUUCCUGAGGUACGUGGAGGAGUGUCUGAACGAGACACCGCCGGACAAAGUGAAGAAACUGAAGAAGAAGAUCAUUGAGACGAUUCACAGCAUUUCAGAGGACGCUUAGCGUUUGUUUUAGAGUUUAAACUGCACUCAGUGUAGAGAUUAGAGUCUUAUUCUUAGGACCGACAUUCCUAACAGCUGUGAUGACGUUACUCACAUGCUGUCAUUUCAUUCCAGCUUGCUGACGUCUGACUUUCUGUUCAUUUCGCUUAAGGACGAAUAAGGAUGUUAUGAAAAGACCCAAACUAACAGUGACGUCCUUGCAGUGACCCUCAGCCUCAGGCAGUCUGUUUCCUACUUAAAUGUUUAGAAACGGCUCACAGUAGCUUUUUUUUAUUGAGCAACGUCCACUAUUUACCCUCAAACAAUUGAGAAUUGUGCACAGCCUUGAAAUCACACCAAGAUCCCUGCGAGAACCACGUCAUGGUGGAAUGUCUGUAGCAGUCAGACUACCAGGGCAGAUCAUCGAGAUAUUUGUUUGUCUUUACCGUUGAAAUUCUACGAAUCCUCAAUGCCAAAUUCAGCACCAAAAGACAUAAAUAGAAUGUAUUUCAACAUAAACAAUGUGCUAACGAAGAAACACAACAUUAUGUUUUGGCAGACUGAGUGGUACAAGCUACAGUCAGCUAACAUUAUGAGCCUAAAAAAACUAACUUUAGCCUCUGUCGACAUUGUGCUGCUACAGUUUACAAAAUAAAGUAACGUUUGAGGAUGUCAAAGAGUGACAUGUUAACAACUGAAACUCUCUCAGCACAGGUCCAUGAGUCUGACUUUGGUUGUCUAGAAUUCGUCCCUGAUCGUCCGACUUUAACACUAAAUACUUUCAUACUUGUACUCGCUACGGCCAUUCCACAUGUUAAUGUUCUUUAGUAUAUCCAACAUUUACAGCACCACAGAAAAACAAGAAUUUGGCAUUGACUUAGUACCAAACUGAAGUUCUUGAUUUGUACUUAUGGGGUCUUUCGUAUGAUACAAACCUUCCCAUUUUGGUGAUACACAGGUUUUAUUGCCGAGGACUGUACUAUGAAGCAAGCCGAACAUAUCCAGGCUCCAAAAACUCCAGUCAGGUAAACAAAGUUUUCUUUAUCAGGCUUUUAGCGUGCACAUAUAAAUGUCAUGCGACUCUUCUUCCACACAAAAUGGACUUAAUGUGCCACUUACUUCACUCAACAUGAACACGUUUUUAUAAUGUAGAGCUGUGAGGAAUCUAAACUUUUUUUACGGUUAAAAGUGCAGUUUCUGCAAGAGCAAACUGUUGAUAGAAAACUGUUAAUUGUGGAAAUAUAUUUGUCUUCCCACAUAGUGACUCUCAAUGCAGAUGAUUAUUUCUAACACGACUGAUGCACUUUAGAUCUGUUAAACGUUCAACUUCAUUCAUUCAAACGUGACACUAAUGAUGUGCGUUUAGUCUUAAGUCACUUUAGUUUUUGGAUGAUUGUAUAUUCUCUGUGAUAAAUACCAAUAGAUUGAUCAGUUUUAUAAUCUGUCUUCUAUCAGCUGUGGUUCCAGCAGCAUAUGAUGGUCUUUGCAGUAGGGCUGGUCCUGAAUAUCCGGAUAUCCAAAUAUUCGGUUGUUACGGUGGUAUCCGAAUAUUUAUUUUGAGAUCCGAAUAUUGGGAUUGCGUUUUCUGCAUCUGGAUAUAGGUUCCUGUGGCAACACGAUGCAUAAAGUUUGAGAUUCUGCAACUGUACAACGUUGUUCAGUAGGUUUAAUAACAUACAGUAUAUUGCCAAAAAUAUUCGCUCACCUGCCUAGACUCGCAUAUGAACGUAAGUGACAUCCCAUUCCUAAUCCAUAGGGUUCAAUAUGAUGUCGGUCCACCCUUUGCAGCUAGAACAGCUUCAACUCUUCUGGGAAGGCUGUCCACAAGGUUUAGGAGUGUGUUUAUGUGAAUUUUUGACCAUUCUUCCACAAGCGCAUUUGUGAGGUCACACACUGAUGUUGGACCAGAAGGCCUGGCUCUCAGUCUCCACUCUAAUUCAUCCCAAAGGUGUUCUAUGGAGUUGAAGUCAGGACUCUGUGCAGGCCAGUCAAGUUCAUCCACACCAGACUCUGUCAUCCAUGUCUUUAUGGACCUUGCUUUGUGCACUGGUGCACAGUCAUGUUGGAAGAGGAAGGACCAGCUCCAAACUGUUCCCACAAAGUUGGGAGCAUGGAAUUGUCCAAAAUGUCUUGGUAUGCUGAAGCAUUCAGAGUUCCUUUCACUGGAACUAAGGGGCCAAGCCCAGCUCCUGAAAAACAAGCCCACACCAUAAUCCCCCCUCCACCAAACUUUACACUUGGCACAAUGCAGCCUGACAUGUAUGGUUCUCCUGGCAACCACCAAACCCAGACUCGUCCAUCAGAUUGCCAGAUGGAGAAGCGUGAUUUGUCAUUCCAGAGAAGGCGUCUCCACUGCUCUAGAGUCCAGUGGCAACGUGCUUUACACCACUGCAUCCCAUGCUUUGCAUUGCACUUGGUGAUGUAUGGCUUGGAUGCAGCUGCUCGGCCAUGGAAACCCAUUCCAUGAAGCUCUCUGCUGAAGCACUGUUCUUGAGCUAAUCUGAAGGCCACAUGAAGUUUGAAGGUUUGUAGUGAUUGACUGCAGAAAGUUGGCCACCUCUUGGCACUAUGCUCCUCAGCAUCCACCGACCCCCCUCCAUCAGUUUACAUGUCCUACCACUUGGUGGCUGAGUUGCUGUCGUUCCCACACACUUCCACUUUCUUAUAAUACAGCUGACAGUUGACUGUGGAAUAUUUAGGAGUGAGGAAAUGUCACAACUGGAUUUGUUGUACAGGUGGCAUCCUAUCACAGUUCCAUGCUGGAAUUCACUGAGCUCCUGAGAGCGAGCCAUUCUUUCACAAAUGUUUGUAAAAGCAGUCUGCAUGCCUAGGUGCUUGAUUUUAUACACCUGUGGCCAUGGAAGUGAUUGGAACACCUGAUUCUGAUUAUUUGGAUGGGUGAGCGAAUACUUUUGGCAAUAUAGUGUACAUGUCAACUGAUCUGCAGAUAAAACAUAUUUAUUCAGCUAAGAAACUGAGAAUCAUCAGGAAAACAACUGAUGAUAAACAAAUGAUGAAAGGGAGAUAUUUCUUAAGGAUGAUUUAAAUCCCAAACUUCGAACACGAAGGAGAUGUGUAGCAUCAGGUACCAUGGAGAUCUAGCAGGUUUAAAGAGAUCCACCUUCAUGACAGUAAAAACUCUGACUGUAGACUCAGCAUACCUCAGUAAUCCUGCUUCAUAGUGCAUCCCUGUCACCAUAUUUAGAGCCUAAACAGUAGAAAUGAUGGACAACCUAGAAAAAUAUGUUUCAGGUUGAAGCUAAAAUCGUGUUAGCUGCACUGAGGCUCAUUAAACCAAAAACAAACUGGUCCUCAUGUUCAAGUCUGUGUUGUCUGACUUUUUAGCUUUUGCUGGGCAUUCAGCUUGACGUAACAUUGGACGUUUACACGCCAGUAUUUAGCAUGUUAGCACAUUUUAGGCUUUAACUAAAGUCUAGCCAAGCAGCAGCAUGCUAACAUCAUGUGCUGGCAGAGCUGGAGAUGCUAACAUAACUAGUGGUAGUAGCAUUUCAGCUUAUAUCUGUAAGUUAUUUACAUUAAUAAUCAGUUUUUAAAUGCGUAGAAAUCUGAAUGCUGACACUAGCGAGGUGGUAACUAGAUUAUUGACUUGCCAAAGGUCGCUGUGCUAAUUGACAGCCUUGUGUGCUAGUACCAGUAAAAGCACAACUUAAUUUUACCAAAAGACAUCUUAAAGAGGUAUUUUAACACCUGAGUGUUUCAAAAUUUGUGCCAUGAAUCGUUGCCAAAGUACCAUCCAGAAAACCUUAACAAAAUUACGUCAAACUACAACAGAUAACUGAACAAAAGCUGCUAGCAUUAGCUUAAUUCUCCAUCCUUAAAGCUUGACACGUUGCUUUAUCCUACAGUGACGGGAUUGAUUCCAAAAUGGUGCGUCCACCAUUUAAAACGUGCUUAAAUCCAUUCAUUUUUGAGGACAUCAAGGUGAAACUGUUUUUUAUGCUUGCAGAACGUUAAGAUGUUUAAAACUAAGGAAAACAGUCCUUUGAUACGUUUUUUAAAGUCCUAAACUUGAGAAACUUUUUGACGUGUCAGCUUUACAACAUCGUCACCAAACCAGUUUAGUAAACGCUGAGUUAUAAAACCUACACUGUCAAUAGAAACUGACCUUGUAAAGAUGUAAUCAAACCUUUAAUGUGUCUUUAUUAUUUAAUCUGCUUUAAAGGCAGCGAGUAAUUCUAAUAUUUAAAUACUGUUACUACUUUCUGUUGUUUUUAGUCUGAGAAUGUUACAUUGAGCUUUUCUUUUGUGCAUUUCCUGAGAUUUUAUUACAGUAAUAAGCUUCAGCCAAAAGAAAGUUUAUAAAAUUCUAAGUAGUCGUGUUAAAAUAUGUAAAAAUAUUUGCAUGUGAAGCCUUUUGAAAGACAGUUCUGUUCCACAUGGAGGUUUUGAUUAAAUCAAAAUCUUUUGAUGCACUCUGCUGCUUUUUUAAACAUGUUUUUUGAAUUGCACAUUUGUUUAAGAAUUAUUUGUUCUUUUUUUGUUUGUUUGUUUGGUUUAAACUUCACUCAGUGCCUUAUGGGAGUCCCAGUAACUAACCAUGGUGUGUGUGGUCAUAUUAAAUGUAAAUGUGUAAAUAUAAGUUUCCUUUGUCUUUACAGCCUGAAUCUUGUAUUUUUAUUGAAGCAUCUACUCAAAGCAUCACAGCUUUGGUGGAAAAAAAAACAUGAUUUCAAAUGCGAUAGUUAGCAUUUUAGGUAAAUCAACAAAAGAACACAACAAUUUUAAGAGCCAAAGUUGAACAAAUAAGAAUUAUGAAGUUUAAAUGAAAGAUCUUCUCUAAUACGGUGAAGUUUCAUCGUCUAGAGAAACAAAUGGUU
Molecule: long non-coding RNA, 6848 nt
Organism: Amphiprion ocellaris (clown anemonefish)
Lineage: Eukaryota; Metazoa; Chordata; Actinopteri; Pomacentridae
Source: Ensembl